GACCACUAUACGAUUAUGCUGCUAGUUUUAGAGGAUAUAAAAUCAAAAAGCACCCUCUCCUUGCUGGCUUCUUCUAUAUAUACCAAACAAAGGCAGGCCAGCAUCACAAAAUAAAAUCAUAAGAGUUUUCAAGGUUUUUGUUCUUCAAACACAAAGACCAAGGACGAAGGAUGAAGGGUGCCAUUUGAAACCACAACACUCCCAGAUUCGUACUAAAUAAAGGUCCCCCAUCUACUAUUGAUGGACACAAGCAAAGCCUACCACAUUUCCUGUGCAUCAAAAUUAGACACUAACUUACUACCAACUCCAUCCUCAACAGAAGAACAUGGAGUUGCAAACCUUCUCCUGCAAUCUGGGCAGUUGGGGAACAGGAACUGCACCAGCACUUGUCAGCCCGCCAUCACUCGAGGCCGUCUCUGAUGUAUCUUCAAAUUUGAUGAACUGCCCAAUCUGGGUGGCUGCCAAGUGUGCAUAGCAAACAGGAGCAACAACAGAAAUAGCAGUAGUACUUCUUUGGUAUACGUAGGAUAGAGAGUGCACUAGUUCUUGCAGGUCAUCUGCAGAAAAACCAACUUCAUCUAACAG
Molecule: unclassified non-coding RNA, 585 nt
Filed under: Hevea brasiliensis (rubber tree)
Lineage: Eukaryota; Viridiplantae; Streptophyta; Magnoliopsida; Malpighiales; Euphorbiaceae
Source: RNAcentral